UACGAAGGAUCCAAGCGUUAUCCGGAUUUAUUGGGUUUAAAGGGUGCGUAGGCGGGCUAUUAAGUCAGUGGUGAAAGCCCCAAGCUUAACUUGGGAAUUGCCAUUGAUACUGAUUGUCUUGAGUACACUUGAAGUGGGCGGAAUGUGUCAUGUAGCGGUGAAAUGCUUAGAUAUGACAUAGAAUACCUAUUGCGAAGGCAGCUUACUGCGCAGAUAUUGACGCUCAUGCACGAAAGCGUGGGGAUCAAACAGG
Molecule: ribosomal RNA, 253 nt
Filed under: uncultured bacterium
Lineage: Bacteria
Description: partial 16S ribosomal RNA
Rfam family: Bacterial small subunit ribosomal RNA
Source: RNAcentral